RNAcentral lists this ribosomal RNA (424 nucleotides) under Diderma deplanatum. RNAcentral describes it as "SSU rRNA". It matches the Rfam family "Eukaryotic small subunit ribosomal RNA", at positions 1230 to 1644 of the family's 1831-position model. The record is from RNAcentral. Lineage: Eukaryota; Evosea; Eumycetozoa; Physariida; Didymiaceae.
ACACGUAUGAAAGACAAGCUGAAAGACUUUUCUCAAUGAUGUAAGUGGUGGUGCAUGGUCGUUCGUAGUUCGUGGAUUGAUUUGUCUGGUCUAUUCCGAUAACGAGCGAGACCCCGGCGUUCCUAAUAGGGGCGGCAGCCCGGCUUGCCUCACGGCUUGCUAGCAGCCGCUUAAGAUUUACUUCUUAGACGUAUCAGAGCCGAUAAGGUUCUUGAAAUGGGUUAAUAACAGGUCAGUCAUGCCCUUAGAUGUUCUGGGCCGCACGCGCGUUACAAUGGUAUGUAUAGAGAGUGCCUAUAAGGGCGUAUCCGGGGCCUGACGGUCCCGGUAACCCAUAAUCCCUGCCUUGACUGGGAUAGACUAUUGCAAUUAUUGGUCUUCAACGAGGAAUUUUUAGUAGUCGCAGGUCAUUAACCUGCGACGA